UGGGGAAUAUUGCACAAUGGGCGCAAGCCUGAUGCAGCCAUGCCGCGUGUAUGAAGAAGGCCUUCGGGUUGUAAAGUACUUUCAGCGGGGAGGAAGGUGUUGUGGUUAAUAACCACAGCAAUUGACGUUACCCGCAGAAGAAGCACCGGCUAACUCCGUGCCAGCAGCCGCGGUAAUACGGAGGGUGCAAGCGUUAAUCGGAAUUACUGGGCGUAAAGCGCACGCAGGCGGUCUGUCAAGUCGGAUGUGAAAUCCCCGGGCUCAACCUGGGAACUGCAUCCGAAACUGGCAGGCUUGAGUCUUGUAGAGGGGGGUAGAAUUACAGGUGUAGCGGUGAAAUGCGUAGAGAUCUGGAGGAAUACCGGUGGCGAAGGCGGCCCCCUGGACAAAGACUGACGCUCAGGUGCGAAAGCGUGGGGAGCAAACA
RNAcentral lists this ribosomal RNA (427 nucleotides) under uncultured bacterium. Its description in RNAcentral is "partial 16S ribosomal RNA". It matches the Rfam family "Bacterial small subunit ribosomal RNA", at positions 355 to 774 of the family's 1533-position model. The record is from RNAcentral.